CCUCGAGAAGCGUGUCAGAAUGGAAACGGCUUAUAGUACAGACCCUCGGGCUGCGUUUGGUUCGGGUAUAAGUAAGAACUGCUAGUUCUAGGGAUAGGUACAAGUUCAGGUAUAAGCAGGAACUAGACCAAUUUUGCGUUUGGAUGAAAAUUGGGUUGUUCCUAGGAAUAAGGUAAAUAGUGUUUGGAUGAUUAGAUUGGAACAAGAGGAAUAAACGUUAUAAUUUGAAAUUAAAAUUAUAUUAUGUAAUUAAUUAACAUAAAAAUAUUACUUAAAAAUAAAUAAAAAAUUAAUUAUUAAUAAUUAAUUAUAAAUAAUAAUUAAUAAUAAUAAUUAAUUAUAAAUAAUAAAUUAUUAAUAACGAUUAUCUAAUUAAUAAUAAUUAUUAUUAUUAUUAAUUAUUAAUAAAUAAUAAUAAUUAUUAAUUAUUCUUAUUAAUUAAUUAUAAAUAAUAAAUUAUUAAUAAUAUUGAUUAUCUAAUUAUUAAUAAUAAUUAAUAUUAAUAUUAAUUAAUAAAUAAUAAUAAUUAAUAAAUAAUAAUAAUUAUUAUUAAUAAUUAAUUAUAAAUAAUAAAUUAAUAAUAACAUCGAUUAUCUAAUUAUUAAGAAUAAUAAUAAUUAAUUAAUUAUUAAUAAAUAAUAAUAUUAAUUUAUUAAUUAUUAAUUAUAAAUAAUAUAUUAAUAAUAAUAUCGAUUAUCAUUAAGAAUAAUAAUUAAUAAUAAUUAUUAAUAAAAAAUUAAUAAAUAUUAUUAAUUAUUAAUAAUUAAUUAUAAAUAAUAAAUUAAUAAUAAUUAUUAUCUAAUUAUUAAUAAUUAAUUAUAAAUAAUAAAUUAUUUAAUUAUUUAAUUAUUAAAAUAAUAAAUAAUAAUUUAAAUAUAUUAAUUAGAUUAAUUAAUAAUUUACUGUCAUUAAAAUUAAAUUUAGAUUUUAAUUAAUCUUGUUCUCAUUAAGGAACAAGCUUGUUCCAGGAAACCGGUGGAACAGCAAUUCCAGCCUUAUUCCAGCUAGUUCCAGAUUCCCGGGAACUACGGUUCCCGGGAGCCAAACAUAGCGUUUGGGAACAAAGGGGGGAACA
This 1075-nucleotide long non-coding RNA is filed under the name Ananas comosus (pineapple). RNAcentral's name for it is "long non-coding RNA (ACOM_LNC001360)". Lineage: Eukaryota; Viridiplantae; Streptophyta; Magnoliopsida; Poales; Bromeliaceae. The record is from RNAcentral.